AUUGAACGCUGGCGGCAGGCCUAACACAUGCAAGUCGAGCGGAUGAAGGGAGCUUGCUCCUGGAUUCAGCGGCGGACGGGUGAGUAAUGCCUAGGAAUCUGCCUGGUAGUGGGGGAUAACGUCCGGAAACGGGCGCUAAUACCGCAUACGUCCUGAGGGAGAAAGUGGGGGAUCUUCGGACCUCACGCUAUCAGAUGAGCCUAGGUCGGAUUAGCUAGUUGGUGGGGUAAAGGCCUACCAAGGCGACGAUCCGUAACUGGUCUGAGAGGAUGAUCAGCCACACUGGAACUGAGACACGGCCCAGACUCCUACGGGAGGCAGCAGUGGGGAAUUUUGGACAAUGGGCGAAAGCCUGAUCCAGCCAUGCCGCGUGUGUGAAGAAGGUCUUCGGAUUGUAAAGCACUUUAAGUUGGGAGGAAGGGCAGUAAGUUAAUACCUUGCUGUGUUGACGUUACCAACAGAAUAAGCACCGGCUAACUUCGUG
RNAcentral lists this ribosomal RNA (484 nucleotides) under uncultured bacterium. RNAcentral describes it as "partial 16S ribosomal RNA". It matches the Rfam family "Bacterial small subunit ribosomal RNA", at positions 30 to 507 of the family's 1533-position model. The record is from RNAcentral.